RNAcentral lists this ribosomal RNA (394 nucleotides) under uncultured bacterium. RNAcentral's name for it is "bacterial SSU rRNA". It matches the Rfam family "Bacterial small subunit ribosomal RNA", at positions 505 to 898 of the family's 1533-position model. The record is from RNAcentral.
GUGUCAGCCGCCGCGGUAAUACGUAGGGGGCAAGCGUUGUCCGGAAUUAUUGGGCGUAAAGCGCGCGCAGGCGGCGAUUUAAGUCUGACGUUUAAGCCCAGGGCUCAACCCUGGUUCGCGUUGGAAACUGGAUCACUUGAGUGCAGAAGAGGAAAGCGGAAUUCCACGUGUAGCGGUGAAAUGCGUAGAGAUGUGGAGGAACACCAGUGGCGAAGGCGGCUUUCUGGUCUGUAACUGACGCUGAGGCGCGAAAGCGUGGGGAGCAAACAGGAUUAGAUACCCUGGUAGUCCACGCCGUAAACGAUGAGUGCUAGGUGUUGGGGGUUUCGAUACCCUCGGUGCCGAAGUUAACACAGUAAGCACUCCGCCUGGGGAGUACGCUCGCAAGAGUGAA